UACGGAGGGGGCGAGCGUUAUUCGGAAUUAUUGGGCGGAAAGGGCGCGUAGGCGGCCUGAUAAGUCAAAGGUGAAAUCCCUCGGCUCAACUGAGGAAUUGCCUUUGAAACUGUCAGGCUUGAGGCCGGGAGGGGGUGGCGGAAUUCCCAGUGUAGCGGUGAAAUGCGUAGAUAUUGGGAGGAACACCAGUGGCGAAGGCGGCCACCUGGACCGGUUCUGACGCUGAUGCGCGAAAGCGUGGGGAGCAAACAGG
This 253-nucleotide ribosomal RNA is filed under the name uncultured bacterium. Its description in RNAcentral is "partial 16S ribosomal RNA". It matches the Rfam family "Bacterial small subunit ribosomal RNA", at positions 524 to 776 of the family's 1533-position model. The record is from RNAcentral.